GGAGCUUGCUCCCUUAGGUCAGCGGCGGACGGGUGAGUAACACGUGGGUAACCUGCCUGUAAGACUGGGAUAACUCCGGGAAACCGGGGCUAAUACCGGAUGCUUGAUUGAACCGCAUGGUUCAAUCAUAAAAGGUGGCUUUUAGCUACCACUUGCAGAUGGACCCGCGGCGCAUUAGCUAGUUGGUGAGGUAACGGCUCACCAAGGCGACGAUGCGUAGCCGACCUGAGAGGGUGAUCGGCCACACUGGGACUGAGACACGGCCCAGACUCCUACGGGAGGCAGCAGUAGGGAAUCUUCCGCAAUGGACGAAAGUCUGACGGAGCAACGCCGCGUGAGUGAUGAAGGUUUUCGGAUCGUAAAACUCUGUUGUUAGGGAAGAACAAGUACCGUUCGAAUAGGGCGGCACCUUGACGGUACCUAACCAGAAAGCCACGGCUAACUACGUGCCAGCAGCCGCGGUAAUACGUAGGUGGCAAGCGUUGUCCGGAAUUAUUGGGCGUAAAGCGCGCGCAGGCGGUUUCUUAAGUCUGAUGUGAAAGCCCCCGGCUCAACCGGGGAGGGUCAUUGGAAACUGGGGAACUU
RNAcentral lists this ribosomal RNA (585 nucleotides) under Bacillus licheniformis. RNAcentral describes it as "bacterial SSU rRNA". It matches the Rfam family "Bacterial small subunit ribosomal RNA", at positions 75 to 643 of the family's 1533-position model. Lineage: Bacteria; Bacillati; Bacillota; Bacilli; Caryophanales; Bacillaceae. The record is from RNAcentral.